GAGAGGUGCUGCAUGGCUGUCGUCAGCUCGUGUUGUGAAAUGUUGGGUUAAGUCUCGCAACGAGCGCAACCCCUAUCGUCUGUUGCCAGCAUUAAGUUGGGCACUCUGACGAGACUGCCUGGGUUAACCAGGAGGAAGGUGGGGAUGACGUCAAGUCCUCAUGGCCCUUAUGUCUAGGGCUACACACGUAAUACAAUGGCGCGUACAAAGGGAAGCGAACUCGCAAGGGGGAGCAAAUCUCAAAAAGCGCGUCUCAGUCCGGAUUGGAGUCUGCAACUCGACUCCAUGAAGUUGGAAUCGCUAGUA
Molecule: ribosomal RNA, 306 nt
Filed under: uncultured Peredibacter sp.
Lineage: Bacteria; Pseudomonadati; Bdellovibrionota; Bacteriovoracia; Bacteriovoracales; Bacteriovoracaceae
Description: bacterial SSU rRNA
Rfam family: Bacterial small subunit ribosomal RNA
Source: RNAcentral